RNAcentral lists this non-coding RNA (549 nucleotides) under Pongo abelii (Sumatran orangutan). The record is from RNAcentral. Lineage: Eukaryota; Metazoa; Chordata; Mammalia; Primates; Hominidae.
AACGAAGCACCGGUGCUGGGGAGCUCUCUGAAUGUCAUCACCAGCAAGAGCAAGAAGUAUUGGCAGCAGCAGGCAGCCAGGAAGGCUGGGAGUUUGCAUGGAAAUCAUGAAGUCUUUCUUGUCUUCCUCUUUUGAAAUAUUUUGGAAGGAGAGUUAAGAAUAGCUCAGAAACUGGUCUCAUUCUUUUUGUGGGAAGAAUGACCAGAAGCAUAAAAGCUAACUCUUCCAGCAAGUGCAAGACACCUCUUUCGAUGUUUGCAGUAAACUUAACAAGAAUGAUUGCUAUCAGUAAAGUCUUGUACCAUGACACCUAAAAGGAAGGAAAUGGUAAAGCAAAGUAAUAACUCAAAGACUGCCACCGAGAGCUUUUGUCUACCUUUAACUCAUUGUGGAACUUGACAUCAUCAGACAGUAAAUCAAGAGGUACUGACAACUGAGACUGAGUGAUGGUCCCUGCCUAGGAUUUGGAAUCUUUGCAUGAAAUAGGGACUCUAGCCACCAGCGACAAAGAAGUCAGGGAGACUGUUGUCUCUAGGAAGCACUUCCAGG